RNAcentral lists this ribosomal RNA (392 nucleotides) under uncultured bacterium. Its description in RNAcentral is "bacterial SSU rRNA". It matches the Rfam family "Bacterial small subunit ribosomal RNA", at positions 29 to 416 of the family's 1533-position model. The record is from RNAcentral.
AACGAACGCUGGCGGCGUGGAUAAGACAUGCAAGUCGGACGAGAGUUUGUUUAUAGCAAUAUGAGUGAACUCUAGUGGCGAAAGGGUGCGUAACACGUGGCUAUCUACCUCGAAGUGGGGGAUAUCUCCGAGAAAUCGGAGUUAAUACCGCAUGUGACCGUGAGGUCAAAGUUGGGGAUCGUAAGACCUGACGCUUUGAGAUGAGGCUGCGGCCUAUCAGGAGUUGGCGGGGUAAUGGCCCACCAAGCCUAAGACGGGUAGCUGGUCUGAGAGGACGACCAGCCACACUGGAACUGAGACACGGUCCAGACACCUACGGGUGGCAGCAGGUCGAGGAUUUUUCUCAAUGGGGGAAACCCUGAAGGAGCGACGCCGCGUGAGGGAUGAAGGUC